RNAcentral lists this transfer RNA (72 nucleotides) under Mammaliicoccus sciuri. RNAcentral's name for it is "Staphylococcus sciuri tRNA-Glu". It matches the Rfam family "tRNA". From Rfam's summary of the family: Transfer RNA (tRNA) molecules are approximately 80 nucleotides in length. Their secondary structure includes four short double-helical elements and three loops (D, anti-codon, and T loops). The record is from RNAcentral. Lineage: Bacteria; Bacillati; Bacillota; Bacilli; Caryophanales; Staphylococcaceae.
GGCCCCUUGGUCAAGCGGUUAAGACACCGCCCUUUCACGGCGGUAACACGGGUUCGAAUCCCGUAGGGGGCA